AACAUCGCGCACCUGCGGGAACCUGCGGAAGGAUCAUUAAAAAGAUCGACCCAACAUAUGGACGAUCAAAUCCAUAUCCACCUUGUGUGCACUUAUUGACCGUUCGCUUUGGCAGGAGUUGUCUUCGAUCCGGCCCAACCCCUAAAAUUUAUUAGGGAGGGGGAGGGAUCGAAGCGGCGAGGGGGAAUAGUCCACCUCGGCCUGCCAGAGUUUUUCCCUUUAAAAGGGAAAAGAAAUAUC
Molecule: unclassified non-coding RNA, 240 nt
Filed under: soil metagenome
Description: partial contains 5.8S ribosomal RNA, internal transcribed spacer 2, and large subunit ribosomal RNA
Source: RNAcentral